Molecule: ribosomal RNA, 253 nt
Filed under: uncultured bacterium
Lineage: Bacteria
Description: partial 16S ribosomal RNA
Rfam family: Bacterial small subunit ribosomal RNA
Source: RNAcentral
UACGUAGGGUGCAAGCGUUAAUCGGAAUUACUGGGCGUAAAGCGUGCGCAGGCGGUCGUGCAGGACAGAUGUGAAAUCCCCGGGCUUAACCUGGGAACUGCAUUUGUGACUGCACGGCUGGAGUGCGGCAGAGGGGGAUGGAAUUCCGCGUGUAGCAGUGAAAUGCGUAGAUAUGCGGAGGAACACCGAUGGCGAAGGCAAUCCCCUGGGCCUGCACUGACGCUCAUGCACGAAAGCGUGGGGAGCAAACAGG